RNAcentral lists this transfer RNA (72 nucleotides) under Marmota marmota marmota (Alpine marmot). It matches the Rfam family "tRNA". Rfam says of the family: Transfer RNA (tRNA) molecules are approximately 80 nucleotides in length. Their secondary structure includes four short double-helical elements and three loops (D, anti-codon, and T loops). RNAcentral also lists the same sequence under 3 other names. The record is from Rfam by way of RNAcentral. Lineage: Eukaryota; Metazoa; Chordata; Mammalia; Rodentia; Sciuridae.
GGGGGUAGAGCUCAGAGGUAGAGCAUUUGCCUAGCAUGUGCAAGGUCCUGAGUUCAAUCCCCAGUACCACCA